RNAcentral lists this non-coding RNA (45 nucleotides) under Schistosoma margrebowiei. The record is from RNAcentral. Lineage: Eukaryota; Metazoa; Platyhelminthes; Trematoda; Strigeidida; Schistosomatidae.
AUCGAGCUGACGAGUCCCAAACAGGACGAAACGCGCGUCCUGGAU